GACGAACGCUGGCGGCGUGCUUAACACAUGCAAGUCGAACGCUGAAGCUCAGCUUUUGUUGGGUGGAUGAGUGGCGAACGGGUGAGUAACACGUGAGUAACCUGCCUCCUUCUUUGGGAUAACGCCCGGAAACGGGUGCUAAUACUGGAUAUUCACUGGUCUUCGCAUGGGGGUUGGUGGAAAGGGUUUUUCUGGUGGGGGAUGGGCUCGCGGCCUAUCAGCUUGUUGGUGGGGUGAUGGCCUACCAAGGCUUUGACGGGUAGCCGGCCUGAGAGGGUGACCGGUCACAUUGGGACGGAGAUACGGCCCAGACUCCUACGGGAGGCAGCAGUGGGGAAUAAUGCACAAUGGGCGCAAGCCUGAUGCAGCGACGCCGCGUGAGGGAUGGAGGCCUUCGGGUUGUGAACCUCUUUCGCUCAUGGUCAAGCCGCAACAAUGGUUGUGGUGAGGGUAGUGGGUAAAGAAGCGCCGGCUAACUACGUG
Molecule: ribosomal RNA, 483 nt
Filed under: uncultured bacterium
Lineage: Bacteria
Description: partial 16S ribosomal RNA
Rfam family: Bacterial small subunit ribosomal RNA
Source: RNAcentral